Molecule: long non-coding RNA, 395 nt
Organism: Fukomys damarensis (Damara mole-rat)
Lineage: Eukaryota; Metazoa; Chordata; Mammalia; Rodentia; Bathyergidae
Exons: 3
Source: RefSeq, a predicted model, not a curated record
UUCUGCUUUACAAGAUAGGCUGGGACUGGUGACUCUGCUGUGGGUUUCCAGGUUUGCAAAAUUUGACCUCUACUGGAACUUCUAGCUCUCCUGUGUGCAGAUGAACCUUUCUUUCUAGUUCUGAUCCAGCAGACUGCCACCUCAAUUCUGCACCCAUAAGCCUACCUUAUGCACCCUUUGUAGAAUCACACAUACAUUUUUUUGAGUUUGUUCAUUUAGAGAACUCAAGCUUCUCUAAGGCAGAAGAAGCAUUGUGGAAGAGUCUGCCAGAGGAAGACUACUCAUGUCUUGGCAGCCAGAAAAGUGUUCAAGCCUGGAAGUUCAAGUUCAAGUUGCCAGCAUAUUUUUGUUUUGAUAUUCCCUGGUUAUUUAGAGACAUCUGCACAGCAAUCAGA